This 204-nucleotide long non-coding RNA is filed under the name Elaeis guineensis (African oil palm). Its description in RNAcentral is "long non-coding RNA (EGUI_LNC028659)". The record is from RNAcentral. Lineage: Eukaryota; Viridiplantae; Streptophyta; Magnoliopsida; Arecales; Arecaceae.
AAUUUGUGGCACCUCUUUUUAGCUUUGGCAUGGAGAAUUUUUAGGAGAGGUGGGGCAGCACAUGAGAGUCCUAUUUCCUCUUUAACUAAUUUUUAACAAACCCUAGUUUUAAUGUUUAAAUAGGGAUUAGAUGGGGCACCUCCUAACGAGAGAUAAGAUCUAGAGUUUGGAUGCCCUAUAUGAGAGAAAAGGGAGAUGGUGUGG